RNAcentral lists this ribosomal RNA (497 nucleotides) under uncultured bacterium. RNAcentral describes it as "partial 16S ribosomal RNA". It matches the Rfam family "Bacterial small subunit ribosomal RNA", at positions 28 to 507 of the family's 1533-position model. The record is from RNAcentral.
GACGAACGCUGGCGGCGUGCCUAAUACAUGCAAGUUGAGCGAUGAAGAUUGGUGCUUGCACCAAUUUGAAGAGCAGCGAACGGGUGAGUAACGCGUGGGGAAUCUGCCUUUGAGCGGGGGACAACAUUUGGAAACGAAUGCUAAUACCGCAUAAUAACUUUAAACAUAAGUUUUAAGUUUGAAAGAUGCAAUUGCAUCACUCAAAGAUGAUCCCGCGUUGUAUUAGCUAGUUGGUGAGGUAAAGGCUCACCAAGGCGAUGAUACAUAGCCGACCUGAGAGGGUGAUCGGCCACAUUGGGACUGAGACACGGCCCAAACUCCUACGGGAGGCAGCAGUAGGGAAUCUUCGGCAAUGGACGAAAGUCUGACCGAGCAACGCCGCGUGAGGGAAGAAGGGUUUCGGAUCGUAAAACUCUGUUGGUAGAGAAGAACGUUGGUGAGAGUGGAAAGCUCAUCAAGUGACGGUAACUACACAGAAAGGGACGGCUAACUACGUG